AAUACUUUAGAGAGAACACAGUGGAAACCCGAUGAUUUUUCAAGUUGGACCUUACGGGUUUUCAGUCUUAAGAAAUGGAGUGAUACAGAGAUGUGCCCAAGGCGAGCACAUGACCAUGUAGAGGAGUCAUUCAAAGUCUUGUGAGGCCGUUCUCGCUGAAAAGAAGGACUUCAGGAGCCUGAUCGAGACGGUUCGACGCACUUCGCCCGCCACGCAGAUCAUCGUUUCUGGACCGCUUCCUACCUACCGCCGAGGAAAUGAAAGGUUCAGUAGACUUUUUGCUCUGAAUGAAUGGCUAUUAACAUGGUGUGAAGAACAGAAAUUGCUCUUUGCCAAUAACUGGAAUCUUUUCUGGGAGCGUCCUAGGCUUUUCCGCGCUGAUGGGCUGCACCCCAGUCGAGCUGGAGCUGAACUCCUGUCGGACAACAUCACCAGAAUACUUCGCUCUAUCUGACUAGCCCUCAGACUAUGCAGAGUCACUGAUUCGAUCCAAGACCAACGACGAGAUGAUCCCAAGGUUUUUUAUAUCCUGGACCUGGCCGAAUCCUGAGCAGCUACUGCGAUGGUCAUGGAAGAAUGGAGAACAUGAGACUGUUUCCUAUGACGCUCCAGAGACAGACGAGUCUUCGCUGAGGCCAGCUUCCAGCCUCCGCCACUGAGACUGCAGCUCUGCACAAGACGUUUGGCCAGCGGAGAAAUUAAAAUGGUCGUGCCCAACUGAGCCUGGUUUCUCUCAAGGUUUUUUUUCUUCACUUCCGCCUUUAGUGAAGUUUUUUUUCCCUCUCCGCUGUCGCCACUGGCUUGCAUGUUUCAGGAUCUGUAGAGCUGCGCAUCGUUGGAUUUGCUCUUCAAUAUUUGGACUCUCAGUAGUGAUUAUUAAACCACACUGAACUGAGCUAAACUGAACUGAACUUAAACACUACAAACUUAACUACACUGUUCCUAUUUACUGUGACCUUUUAUGUGAAG
Molecule: long non-coding RNA, 969 nt
Organism: Danio aesculapii
Lineage: Eukaryota; Metazoa; Chordata; Actinopteri; Cypriniformes; Danionidae
Exons: 3
Source: RefSeq, a predicted model, not a curated record